RNAcentral lists this ribosomal RNA (469 nucleotides) under uncultured bacterium. RNAcentral's name for it is "partial 16S ribosomal RNA". It matches the Rfam family "Bacterial small subunit ribosomal RNA", at positions 328 to 794 of the family's 1533-position model. The record is from RNAcentral.
CGCCCAGACUCCUACGGGAGGCAGCAGUGAGGAAUAUUGGUCAAUGGCCGGAAGGCUGAACCAGCCAAGCCGCGUGAAGGACGAAGGUGCCAAGCCUUGUAAACUUCUUUUGUCAAGGGACAAAAUCAGGCUCGAGAGCCUGACCGAGGGUACUUGAAGAAAAAGCAUCGGCUAGCUCCGUGCCAGCAGCCGCGGUAAUACGGAGGAUGCGAGCGUUAUCCGGAUUUAUUGGGUUUAAAGGGUGCGUAGGCGGACUGUUAAGUCAGCGGUAAAAGCCCGGGGCUCAACGUGGGAACUGCCUUUGAAACUGGCAAACUGGAGUGUGUGAGAGGAUAGUGGAAUUCCAGGUGUAGGAGUGAAAUCCGUAGAUAUCUGGAGGAACAUCAGUGGCGAAGGCGACUAUCUGGCACAUAACUGACGCUGAGGAGCGAAAGCGUGGGUAGCAAACAGGAUUAGAUACCCGGGUAAA